GUGCUUGCUUCGGCAGCACAUAUAUUAAAAUUGGAACGAUACAGAGAAGACUAGCAUGGCCCCUGCGCAAGGGUGACAGGCAAAUUCGUAAAGCGUUCCAUAUUUAA
Molecule: small nuclear RNA, 107 nt
Organism: Erinaceus europaeus (western European hedgehog)
Lineage: Eukaryota; Metazoa; Chordata; Mammalia; Eulipotyphla; Erinaceidae
Source: Ensembl